CUCUCGGCAACGGAUAUCUCGGCUCUCGCAUCGAUGAAGAACGUAGCGAAAUGUGAUACCUGGUGUGAAUUGCAGAAUCCCGUGAACCAUCGAGUCUUUGAACGCAAGUUGCGCCCGAGGCCAUCCGGCUAAGGGCACGCCUGCCUGGGCGUCAC
This 155-nucleotide ribosomal RNA is filed under the name Musa ornata. RNAcentral's name for it is "5.8S ribosomal RNA". It matches the Rfam family "5.8S ribosomal RNA". Rfam says of the family: 5.8S ribosomal RNA (5.8S rRNA) is a component of the large subunit of the eukaryotic ribosome. Lineage: Eukaryota; Viridiplantae; Streptophyta; Magnoliopsida; Zingiberales; Musaceae. The record is from RNAcentral.